Small nucleolar RNA from Tachyglossus aculeatus (Australian echidna), 138 nucleotides. The record is from RefSeq and is a predicted model, not a curated record. NCBI's taxonomy places the organism in Eukaryota, Metazoa, Chordata, Mammalia, Monotremata, Tachyglossidae.
AUCCUCUCAGGAUCACACCUGGAGAGUUUCCAGUACUCUACCAGUCUCGUCUGUGAGAGGGAGAGUGAAGCAGAGGCCUGUCCAUUCCAUUCCUAGCUUGGGCAGUGGCUAGCAAGUGGAAGGCAAUCUGCUACAAGU